This 281-nucleotide long non-coding RNA is filed under the name Ictidomys tridecemlineatus (thirteen-lined ground squirrel). RNAcentral's name for it is "lncRNA (ENSSTOG00000029354.1)". The record is from RNAcentral. Lineage: Eukaryota; Metazoa; Chordata; Mammalia; Rodentia; Sciuridae.
GUAUUAUUUAAUGUUUGAUCAAUCACUUUUUUUUGGUUCCAGCCAAGAAGGGGAAAGACUUUGGAGGAUACAGACUCUGGCAGGAGGCAGCAGUCUUCUUCCUGGAGACUUGAGGCCUGAGGUCAGCAGCCAACUGCUCAGAAGAAGAUCCCAUUGGACUUGGCAUUUGGGAAACCAGAGGCUGGUUCUUCUGAUAGGAGAGAACAGACUGGUCCUGAUAACGCUGAGCUAGGUGAGGAGGAUCCAAGAAACAGUGAAGUAACAUCAUGUGAUACCUUUGU